UCAAACAUGUGACAACAUUAAGCACCCUGGUAGAGGCAAGAUUUGCCAGGCGGCUCUCACAUACCCCUGCCUCCCACAAUACUACCCCCGCCUCCCAUGAUAUGAUGAGAUGACAAGGCACUUUACCUCUGCAUUAUACUCCACAAAACCCGUAAUCCCAGACAAUCAUGAGAAAACAUCAGACAAACCCAGAUCAGCAGACAUUCUACAAAACACCGAGUCCUUCCCAACACUGUCCACGGAAUGAAAAACAAGGAAAAUCUAAGAAAUGGUCACAGACGAGAGAAGACUACAAGAGGCAUGAUGACUGAAUGCAAGGGUCUCACUCUGCUGUCCAAGCUGGAGUGUGGUGGUGCCAUCAUGACUCACUGCAGCCUUGGCCUCCCAGGCUCAAGCGAUCCUCCUGCCUCGGCCUCCAGAGUCUCUGGGACUACAGGAGUCUCACUCUUUCGCUGAGGCUGGCUUGCAAUGGCACGACCUCAGCUCACUACAACCUCUGCCUUCUGAGUUCAAGCGAUUCUCCUGCCUCAGCCUCCCAAGUAGCUGGGAUUACAGGAGAAAAGACUGCAGAACCACACAAGGCUCACGCUGCCCAGGGAGAACGUCAUCUCAGUUCCCAUAUGAGUCCCGAUGAAAAUAUGACAGAGAAAUUCUGUCCUGGACCACGAGCAUCUUUUCAUCUUCGUAUCCUAGCAGCCAGCAGGCACUUGGUGAAGAGGCUGCUCAACGAAUAUACAGUGACGGUUUUACGGGACAAGAGUUACCUGAGGAACAACUAAAUCUGCCCCAUCAAGCAAUUCUUGACAGAGUGUUGUCACCACACAGAAUCCUCAGUUUGAAACUAACACAAACUGAAAUGUGCAAAACUGAAUCUGUUUCUUUGGGGAGCACAAACCAGUAGAGCUUCUAUGUGAUAAAGGAAGAUGCUGCAGUUUGACCGAGUUUGCCAAGGAGAAGAUGUCCCUGGGACACUGAGCUACUUUUUUACACAUACAGGUCAAGGGUCCACGUGUGGUCCUUACUGGGCGCCCCCUAUUCUGCCCCGUGUGGGAAGCAUGUGACUUGAUGCUGUACAUGUAAAACAUGGUUUCUGCUCUUAAGAAGUUUACAGGCCAGCAGGGAAUGGUAAAAUGCGUGAGGAAGAACCCCUAGGCUGGGCGCGGUGGCUCACACCUGUAAUCCCAGUACUUUGGGAGGCCGAGGCCAGUGCAUCACCUGAGGUCAGGAGUUCAAGACCAGCCUGGCCAACAUGCUGAAACCCUGUCUCUACUAAAAAUACAAGAAUUAGCCGGGCGUGGUGGCACGUGCCUAUUACCCCAGCUACUCAGGAGGCUGAGGCUGGAGAAUUGCUUGAACCCAGGAGAAGGAGGUUUCAGUGAGCCGAGAUCGUGCCACUGCACUCAGGCUGGGCAACAAGAGCAAAACUCCGUCUCAAAAAAAAAAAAAAAAAGAAAGAAAGAAAAAAAAAACCCCCGCAACUCCAGGUGGAUUGGCACUGACUACUGAGCACACCAUACAUGUGCAAAGGAAGAAAAAGGGCUGUGAUGAAGUGAGGCAAGCUGGGGCCUCAACUGGCUGCAUCUGGAAUUUCAACAGCAAGACAAGAAUGGACUAGACAGACCAGUGUUCUCACCCACUGUUUCCAUGAUCACUCUCACAACAGAAAAAUAAAAUUGACAAGAAAAAUUACUCAAGAAUAAGGCUGGGUAUGGUGGCUCGCGCCUGUAAUGCUGGCAUUCUGGGAGGCCGAGGCAGGAGGAUCACUUGAGGCCAGGGGUUUCAGACCAGCCCGGGCAACAAAGCAAAUCCCUGUCUCUACAAAAAAAUAAAUUUAAGUUAGCCAAGCGUGGUGGAGUGCAUCUGUAGUCUAAGAUACUUGGGAGGUCAACGCAGGAGGAUCACCUCAGGCCAGGAGUUCAAGACCAGCCUGGGCAACUCCAUCUCUACAAAAAAAAUUUAAAAAUCAGCUGUGCAUGGUAGCAGCACAUAUAGUCUCAGCUACCUGGGAAGCUGAGGCAGAAGGAUCUCUUGAACUCAGGAAUUCAAGACUACAGUAAGCUAUGAUUACACCGCUGCACUCCAAUCUAGAUGACGGAGCAAGACCCUUUCUCUAAAAAUAAAGUAAGACUAAACAAAUCAAAAGAAUAAAAUACACAGGGUUAAGAGUUAAACCCACAGAGUUAAGUAAGCCUUGGAGGACCACAAACCACUGCCGUAUCUAAGAAUGCUUCUCUCUGUGACCCCCAAGAACUUCUGGCUGCCUACCCCCCACCCUUGGGAGUGGUACCAUCUCCACUGAGAAUGCCUGGAUUAGCUAUUAAUCACUGUAGGCAGCCAUUUAAACACGACGCCCCUCAUGCAAUACCUUCUAACGUCGAGCUGGAUGCUGGACUACCAGCAGGCACACAAGUGUAAAGUGGCCCGGAGCCACCAUAGGGCUUCUGAACAGUCAGCACAUUUGGAGAAUCGACCUCGCUGGAGCUCAGGAACCUUGGUUUGGGA
Long non-coding RNA from Homo sapiens (human), 2502 nucleotides. Ensembl annotates it as ZNF217 antisense RNA 1. Its record names the gene ZNF217-AS1. The record is from Ensembl. NCBI's taxonomy places the organism in Eukaryota, Metazoa, Chordata, Mammalia, Primates, Hominidae.